CGGGGUGCACCAGGCGCGAAAACUNUGCAAUGCGGGAAACCGUGACAAGGGAACUCUGAGUGCCCGUUAAAUCGGGCUGUCCAUCGGUUUAAAUAACCGGUGAAGAAAGGGCCGGGCAAGACCGGUGCCAGCCGCCGCGGUAAUACCGGCGGCUCGAGUGGUGGCCACUAUUACUGGGCUUAAAGCGUUCGUAGCUGGUUUGUUAAGUCUCUGGGGAAAUCUUCCGGCUUAACCGGAAGGCGUCUCAGGGAUACUGGCAGACUAGGGACCGGGAGAGGUGAGAGGUACUCCAGGGGUAGGAGUGAAAUCCUGUAAUCCUUGGGGGACCACCUGUGGCGAAGGCGUCUCACCAGAACGGCUCCGACAGUGAGGGACGAAAGCUGGGGGAGCAAACCGGAUUAGAUACCCGGGUAGUCCCAGCUGUAAACGAUGCGCGUUAGGUGUAUCGGUGACCACGAGUCACCGAGGUGCCGAAGAGAAAUCGUGAAACGUGCCGCCUGGGAAGUACGGUCGCAAGGCUGAAACUUAAAGGAAUUGGCGGGGGAGCACAAGGGCGAUUCGC
RNAcentral lists this ribosomal RNA (562 nucleotides) under uncultured archaeon. Its description in RNAcentral is "bacterial SSU rRNA". It matches the Rfam family "Archaeal small subunit ribosomal RNA", at positions 326 to 894 of the family's 1478-position model. The record is from RNAcentral.